This 500-nucleotide ribosomal RNA is filed under the name uncultured bacterium. RNAcentral's name for it is "partial 16S ribosomal RNA". It matches the Rfam family "Bacterial small subunit ribosomal RNA", at positions 29 to 523 of the family's 1533-position model. The record is from RNAcentral.
AUUGAACGCUGGCGGCAUGCCUUACACAUGCAAGUCGAACGGCAGCGCGGACUUCGGUCUGGCGGCGAGUGGCGAACGGGUGAGUAAUACAUCGGAACGUACCCUGUUGUGGGGGAUAACUAGUCGAAAGAUUAGCUAAUACCGCAUACGACCUGAGGGUGAAAGUGGGGGACCGCAAGGCCUCACGCAGCAGGAGCGGCCGAUGUCUGAUUAGCUAGUUGGUGGGGAAAAGGCCCACCAAGGCGAAGAUCAGUAGCUGGGCUGGGGAGACGAACAGCCACCAUGGGACUGGGAAACGGCCCAAAUCUCUACGGGGGGCAGAAGUGGGGAAUUUUGGAAAAUGGGGGCAACCCUGAUCCAGGAAUGCCGGGUGUUUGAAAAAGGCCUUUGGGUUGGAAAGCACUUUUGUCCGGGAAAAAAUCGCGCUGGUUAAUACCUGGCGUGGAUGACGGUACCGGAAGAAUAAGCACCGGCUAACUACGAGCCAGCCGCCGCUGUAA